AAGAAUGGCAGUUGCGGCGCUGGUUCCCGGGAACAGCAGUCAAGACAGAACUGCGGAGGAGGAGUCCGGGAAAGCGGCAGUCUGGACCCCUCCUCUCCGUUCCCCCCGCCCCAGCUGAGAGGCGCCUUGGCGGGUCUGAGGAACCCUCCUCCGUACUUCCUUUGGCUGCUGCCGCCGCCAGGAGAUGGGCCUGCUCGCCCGCAGCCCUGCGCCCUGCGUCUCCCUGAGGAGUUGAAGCACAAGGGUCCCUAGCACCCCUAACCCACGGACCACUGCCAGUGGCAGCACAGCAGGAACCGGGCAGCACAACAGGAGAACAUCUGUGAUAAGUCUACCAUAAAUUGAACUCCUUCAAGAAUUCUCUGAAGGAACCAAAUAGGAUUUUCUUACAUCAUGACUUAAUCUGAAUGCAAGAACAAGAAACAGGUUUUAUCUCUAAAUAUAAUGAAGGGCUGUGUGUAAACACAGACCCUGACUCAAUUCUAAUGAGCAUUUUAGACAUGAGUUUACAUCGGCAAAUGGGUUCAGAUCGAGAUCUUCAGUCUUCUGCUUCAUCUGUGAGCUUGCCUUCAGUCAAAAAGGCACCCAAAAAAAGAAGAAUUUCAAUAGGCUCUCUGUUUCGGAGGAAAAAGGAUAACAAACGUAAAUCAAGGGAGCUAAAUGGCGGGGUGGAUGGAAUUGCGAGUAUUGAAAGUAUACAUUCCGAAAUAUGUACUGAUAAGAACUCCAUUUUCUCUACAAAUACCUCCUCUGACAAUGGAUUAACUUCUAUCAGCAAACAAGUUGGAGACUUUAUAGAGUGCCCCUUGUGCCUUUUACGGCAUUCUAAAGACAGAUUUCCUGAAAUAAUGACUUGUCAUCAUAGAUCUUGUGUGGAUUGCUUACGACAAUACCUAAGGAUAGAAAUUUCUGAAAGUAGGGUUAAUAUCAGUUGCCCAGAAUGUACUGAACGGUUUAAUCCCCACGAUAUUCGCUUGAUAUUAAGUGAUGAUGUCUUGAUGGAAAAAUAUGAAGAAUUUAUGCUUAGACGGUGGCUCGUUGCGGAUCCUGAUUGUAGGUGGUGUCCAGCUCCAGACUGUGGGUAUGCUGUGAUAGCAUUCGGAUGUGCUAGCUGUCCAAAAUUAACUUGUGGGCGAGAAGGCUGUGGAACAGAGUUUUGCUACCACUGUAAACAGAUUUGGCACCCCAAUCAGACCUGUGAUGCUGCUCGACAGGAGAGAGCCCAGAGUUUACGUCUGAGAACUAUACGUUCUUCGUCCAUUAGUUAUAGUCAAGAGUCUGGAGCAGCAGAUAUUACCAAUUCCAGGAUCAGGGAUUCAGAAUCAUACCUUGCUGAUGAUAUAAAACCAUGUCCACGGUGUGCUGCUUAUAUAAUAAAGAUGAAUGAUGGGAGCUGUAAUCACAUGACAUGUGCUGUCUGUGGUUGUGAGUUUUGUUGGUUGUGUAUGAAAGAAAUCUCGGAUUUACAUUAUCUAAGUCCAUCAGGAUGUACUUUUUGGGGGAAGAAACCCUGGAGCCGAAAGAAGAAAAUAUUGUGGCAGCUGGGAACACUUGUUGGUGCUCCUGUAGGAAUUGCUUUAAUAGCUGGCAUUGCUAUCCCUGCCAUGAUUAUUGGCAUUCCUGUAUAUGUGGGCCGUAAGAUUCACAAUCGAUAUGAAGGCAAGGAUGUUUCAAAGCACAAACGGAAUUUGGCCAUAGCAGGUGGUGUAACAUUGUCUGUAAUCGUAUCUCCAGUUGUAGCUGCAGUAACUGUAGGUAUUGGUGUUCCUAUUAUGUUAGCUUAUGUCUAUGGUGUUGUUCCGAUUUCUCUCUGUCGAAGCGGAGGUUGUGGGGUCUCAGCAGGCAAUGGAAAAGGAGUCAGGAUUGAAUUUGAUGAUGAAAAUGAUAUAAAUGUUGGUGGGACAAACACAGCUGUAGACACAACUUCAGUAGCAGAAGCAAGACACAACCCUAGCAUAGGGGAGGGAAGUGUUGGUGGUUUGACCGGCAGUUUGAGUGCAAGUGGAAGCCACAUGGAUCGAAUAGGAGCCAUCCGGGACAACCUGAGUGAAACGGCCAGCACCAUGGCGCUCGCUGGAGCCAGUAUCACAGGGAGUCUGUCAGGAAGUGCCAUGGUAAACUGUUUUCACAGGUUGGAAGUACAAGCAGAUGUACAGAAAGAACGGUACAGCCUAAGUGGAGAAUCUGGCACAGUCAGUUUGGGAACAGUUAGUGAUAAUGCCAGCACCAAGGCAAUGGCAGGAUCCAUUCUGAAUUCCUACAUCCCAUUGGACAAAGAAGGCAACAGUAUGGAGGUUCAGGUAGAUAUCGAGUCAAAGCCAUCCAAAUUCAGGCACAACAGUGGAAGCAGCAGUGUGGAGGAUGGCAGUGCCACCCGAAGUCAUCCUGGGGGUUCAUCCAGUGGCUUGCCUGAAGGUGCCAUUGGUACAAAGAUCUAAAGGAAGUGAGGGAGGAACUAUGAAGACAUACCUAUUGGAUGAGCAUUCCAGAAAGAGAUCUUCCCCCAGACAAGUCAACUCAGAACACCGCAGCAGUGCUUAGAGCUAUGAUAGAGCUGUGCACAUGGCACCAUGAGGAAACAAAGACAGAUCAUCUAACUCAGCCAAGGGAGGCUCUCCGUCCAGGGCAGAUUAGCAGGCCUCUGCUUCAGGCCCACACUCAAAGCACCAGGCUGUUGGAGGGGUCAUCAUCUUGUGACCCACUGACUGGAACAUGAGGCCUUCUCAGUCACUGCAGCGAGGGAAAAGGCUGUGUGAGGGCUUUGUGCCAGCUCGUGCAUACUCUGGCCCAGAAGUGACGGACAGCUUUUACCUGUACCCCAGCAGUCCCCAACUUUCUUGGCACCAGGGACCCGUUUCGUGGAAGACAGUUUUUCCACCGACGGGGCUGGUUCGGUGGUAACGUGAGCGAACGGAGAGGAUGAGCCAGGUGUGCUGAGUGCGAGUGACGGGGAUCGGUGGGGAGCAGCAGUGAAGCCUCACUCGCUUCCCCAGAAGGGGAAGAAAACCAGGUAUAAAGGUGUUUUCAUGUCAUUGAUGAGCCUCUUUUCAUGUCAGCUUGAAGAACUCCUUUCAACAUUUCUUGCAAGGCAGGUCUAAUGGUGAGAAACUCCCUCAGCUUUUGUUUGUCUUGAGAGUGUCUUUAUUUUUCCUUCAUAUCUGAAGAAUAACUUUGCUAGAUAGAAUAUUCUUGGCUGGGAGUUUUUAAUCUUUCAAUGCUCUGAAUAUGUAAUCCCACUCUCUCCUAGCCUGCAGGGGUUUUGGUGAGAAACCUGUUGAUAGCCCAAUGGAUGUACCUUCGUAGGUUACACUUUUUUUUCCCCCCUGGCUGCCUUUAGAACUCUUUAUCUUUGAUUUUUGGUAGUUUCAUUACAACGUGUCUUGGAGAAGGUAUUUUCACAUUUAGAUAACAGGGUGAUCUAUUAGCUUUGUGAAUUUGGAUGUCCAAGUCUCCCCAGAUUUGGGAAGUUUUCAGCUAUUAUUUAAGUAAACUUUCUGUCUCCUUCUCCCUCUGGAUCCCCAAUUCUUCUAGUAUUGAUAUUUGCUCUCUGUCUCAAGUCCCAUAGAGCAUGCAUGCUUUCUUUGCUCUUUUUUAUUCUGAUUUAUUUCAAAAUUCUCAUCCCCUAAGUCAUUUAUUCUGUCUUCCAUCUGCUCUGAGCUACUGCAGAGGCUCUCCAGUGCAUUCUUCAUCUCAUUCACCAGAAUUUCUGUUUAGUUCUUUUUUGUUAUUUUUUGGUAAAGAGUUAAUUUUGUUCACGUAUUUUCCUUCCUAUUGUCAUGAAGCUGUCUUUCUGAGUUUUCUUGUAGCUCACCUCAGAACAGCUUCUUCAGAAGAGUUUCUUCAGAACAGCUAUUCUGAUCUCUUUAUCAGCUACAUCAGAGUAUUCUGUCGCUUUGAGCUCGAUUGUUGGAGGAUUACUGGUAUCUUUUGGAGGUGACAUAUUUUGAUUUUUCAUGUUCCUUGUAUUUUUGUGUUGCUGUUUUUGCAUUUGAAGUAGCAGGCACCUCCUUAAAUCUUUACUGGUUGCCUUUAGUUGGGAUACUAAUCAUUGGUGUUGCUAUAUGAGGGGUUUCCUCAGUUUCUGAAUGGGUAGACCCGCUCCACUCUUCUUGUUCUGCCUUGUGGCAGAAUCCUUAACCUUUUAUGUUUCUCCUUAUUCUUAGAAUUCAUCAGACCGGCUGCUGGAAACCUCUCUUUUGUCUUCCAGAAGGUGGUGUUAUAGCUCCAGUUGCAAUUUCUCCCUUACCCACAGACUCUGGUCCAUCCUUCUGAGAAUACUCCAACUACUGCGCCUGCUCUCACUGCUGCAGCACUCAGGAGCAUGCAGAAGGAUCUGGUCACAGAAUGGCAGGAGGUGUGGGUUUAGCACUUGGGGUGUUGGGGAUGCCCACGGACCCAGUGGGGAGAUCCCUAAGUAGGGUACUCCCAGAGGCUUGUGGGCAGACUUCCUGCUGAAGUCCUGAAGCUGUCUGCAGGAACUGUGCUCCUUUAAUGCCCUUGAUAUUCUUAUCUGCUUCCUUCACUUUCUCUUCCCUUCCUUCAGUCAUGGAGGUCCUCCCUCAGGACUCCGGCUGGGGAGAAACAAGUUUCUCCAGGUGUGAACCCAACAGUUGGGACAGCCCGGCACUUGCUCACUGCUUACCACCUCCUCCACGGGAGAGGCUGCCCCAUGCAGCUAGUACUGGAGCAAGAAAAUGCUUCAGAAGAAGAAACCUGACCAAAGACUACAGGAAUAAAUGACAGCACACUGAUAGAGACCUGAAGGUUUUAUCAUAUAAAAGAUGCUGAUAUACCAAAGAAGGAUCUUUAUCAAUAAGAUUAUUUUUCAGAGACUGGAUGAGGAGCAGGAAUGUAUCCCCUUCAAGUUUGUUGCUCAACAACACUGGCAAGUCUUUCGGUUCAGUGAUGGCUAACAGGUGUUCCAGGCACGGAAUCAUACUGAAAGGCAAGAAGGGGGGGCAGCGGGGCAAGCUGAGGGAGUAAUAAUAGCUAACUCUUACCCGUCUCAACAUUUUGCAAGUAUUCUUAUUUUAGUCCCACAAUAGCCCUAUAAAUACUGUUACUGUCCCCAUUUAAAGAUGAGGAAACUGAGGCAUAGAAACAUGAUCUUUGAGAUGAUGCAAGCAGCAAUGAGCAGAAGGUGAAUGAUAAGACGGUUGUGGAGCUCAAGUGAGAGGCCUGAAAAUGGAGAUUUGUGAGCUGCAGCCUUGGGAAUAGAAGGCCACCGGCAAGGAGUUGACAUGACUCUUUUUUCAUCCAUUCAAGGAACAACUGUGCCUAAAGACCAAUCUGUCCGGUUGGAAGAAACCUAAGAAAGCAAGAAAUACACUUUGAUAAAUGUUAAACAGAGGCAGGCAAGUGUGAAGAGAGGGCCCGACAGCAGGAGGCACGGGGAUGGCCAUGGAGCAGGGAGGCGGUGGCAGAGGAGGGGCCGGGGUGCCGGGUCAACACAGCAUCAGACUAGAUCCGGCCCCUCCGUGGGCCAGGGGCUAGGACACCAUGGGAGAAAGGACAGCCGGGGCCCUGGCCCUCGUGGAAGCUUACGUCUUAUGAGGGGAAACAGUAAGAAAACAAGUGAACAAAUGAAUAAAUAAAGUAAGCGUGCACUGUCAUUUAUGCAAUUAAGAGAAGCAAGGAUGGAGACGGAUGCUAACGAGGGGAAGGAGUCUCCUUUGACACGGGUGUCAGAGAACAAAGGACCUGAAGGGAAGCCAGCCACGCAGAGUGGGGGGCAGAGCAGAGCUCACACAGAGAGAAAAGUGCGGCUCCAGCAAAAAGGAGGCCGUUAAAAGUUGCUAAUAACCUUAUCAGGCCUCAAAAAAAAAAAAAAGGUAAAGUAUAAUCACGUGUUUGUGAUAACAUUUACUAUUAAUAAAUGUGCUUAAACUCCAA
Molecule: RNA transcript, 5892 nt
Organism: Aethalodelphis obliquidens (Pacific white-sided dolphin)
Lineage: Eukaryota; Metazoa; Chordata; Mammalia; Artiodactyla; Delphinidae
Gene: RNF19A
Gene name: ring finger protein 19A, RBR E3 ubiquitin protein ligase
Exons: 19
Source: RefSeq, a predicted model, not a curated record